RNAcentral lists this transfer RNA (30 nucleotides) under Riccardia gasparii. Its description in RNAcentral is "Riccardia sp. CR-2017a partial tRNA-Phe". The record is from RNAcentral. Lineage: Eukaryota; Viridiplantae; Streptophyta; Jungermanniopsida; Metzgeriales; Aneuraceae.
CGUUUUUUUAGCAUUGUAAUAGAAACACGC